GAUGAACGCUGGCGGCGUGCCUAAUACAUGCAAGUCGAGCGAACAGACGAGGAGCUUGCUCCUCUGACGUUAGCGGCGGACGGGUGAGUAACACGUGGAUAACCUACCUAUAAGACUGGGAUAACUUCGGGAAACCGGAGCUAAUACCGGAUAAUAUAUUGAACCGCAUGGUUCAAUAGUGAAAGACGGUUUUGCUGUCACUUAUAGAUGGAUCCGCGCCGCAUUAGCUAGUUGGUAAGGUAACGGCUUACCAAGGCGACGAUGCGUAGCCGACCUGAGAGGGUGAUCGGCCACACUGGAACUGAGACACGGUCCAGACUCCUACGGGAGGCAGCAGUAGGGAAUCUUCCGCAAUGGGCGAAAGCCUGACGGAGCAACGCCGCGUGAGUGAUGAAGGUCUUCGGAUCGUAAAACUCUGUUAUUAGGGAAGAACAAAUGUGUAAGUAACUAGGCACGUCUUGACGGUACCUAAUCAGAAAGCCACGGCUAACUACG
Molecule: ribosomal RNA, 495 nt
Filed under: uncultured bacterium
Lineage: Bacteria
Description: partial 16S ribosomal RNA
Rfam family: Bacterial small subunit ribosomal RNA
Source: RNAcentral